RNAcentral lists this ribosomal RNA (851 nucleotides) under Panus strigellus. RNAcentral describes it as "LSU rRNA". It matches the Rfam family "Eukaryotic large subunit ribosomal RNA", at positions 81 to 918 of the family's 3401-position model. Lineage: Eukaryota; Fungi; Basidiomycota; Agaricomycetes; Polyporales; Panaceae. The record is from RNAcentral.
UAGUAACUGCGAGUGAAGCGGGAAAAGCUCAAAUUUAAAAUCUGGCAGUCUUUGGCUGUCCGAAUUGUAUUCUGGAGAAGCGUUUUCCGCGCUGGACCGUGUACAAGUCUCUUGGAAUAGAGCGUCAUAGAGGGUGAGAAUCCCGUCUUUGACACGGACUACCAGUGCUUUGUGAUGCGCUCUCAAAGAGUCGAGUUGUUUGGGAAUGCAGCUCAAAAUGGGUGGUGAAUUCCAUCUAAAGCUAAAUAUUGGCGAGAGACCGAUAGCGAACAAGUACCGUGAGGGAAAGAUGAAAAGCACUUUGGAAAGAGAGUUAAACAGUACGUGAAAUUGCUGAAAGGGAAACGCUUGAAGUCAGUCGCGUCAUCCAGAACUCAGCCUGGCUUUUGCUUGGUGUAUUUUCUGGUUGACGGGCCAGCAUCAGUUUUGACCGCUGGAAAAAGGCCAUGGGAAUGUGGCACCUUCGGGUGUGUUAUAGCCCGUGGUCAUAUACAGCGGUUGGGACUGAGGACCGCAGCACGCCUUUAUGGUUGGGGUUCGCCCACAUUCGUGCUUAGGAUGCUGGCGUAAUGGCUUUAAACGACCCGUCUUGAAACACGGACCAAGGAGUCUAACAUGCCUGCGAGUGUUUGGGUGGAAAACCCGAGCGCGUAAUGAAAGUGAAAGUUGGGAUCCCUGUCGUGGGGAGCACCGACGCCCGGACCAGACCUUUUGUGACGGAUCCGCGGUAGAGCAUGUAUGUUGGGACCCGAAAGAUGGUGAACUAUGCCUGAAUAGGGUGAAGCCAGAGGAAACUCUGGUGGAGGCUCGUAGCGAUUCUGACGUGCAAAUCGAUCGUCAAAUUUGGGUAU